This 63-nucleotide transfer RNA is filed under the name Cordylochernes scorpioides. RNAcentral's name for it is "tRNA-Gly". It matches the Rfam family "tRNA". From Rfam's summary of the family: Transfer RNA (tRNA) molecules are approximately 80 nucleotides in length. Their secondary structure includes four short double-helical elements and three loops (D, anti-codon, and T loops). Further hydrogen bonds mediate the characteristic L-shaped molecular structure. tRNAs have two regions of fundamental functional importance: the anti-codon, which is responsible for specific mRNA codon recognition, and the 3' end, to which the tRNAs corresponding amino acid is attached (by aminoacyl-tRNA synthetases). tRNAs cope with the degeneracy of the genetic code in two manners: having more than one tRNA (with a specific anti-codon) for a particular amino acid; and 'wobble' base-pairing, i.e. permitting non-standard base-pairing at the 3rd anti-codon position. The record is from RNAcentral. Lineage: Eukaryota; Metazoa; Arthropoda; Arachnida; Pseudoscorpiones; Chernetidae.
GCAUCGGUAGUUCAAUGGCGAGAAUGCUCGCCUGCCACGCGGGCUCGAUUCCCGGCCGAUGCA